This 551-nucleotide ribosomal RNA is filed under the name Penicillium sp. MYf135. Its description in RNAcentral is "eukaryotic LSU rRNA". The stretch from base 193 to 345 matches the Rfam family "5.8S ribosomal RNA". Lineage: Eukaryota; Fungi; Ascomycota; Eurotiomycetes; Eurotiales; Aspergillaceae. The record is from RNAcentral.
ACCUGCGGAGGAUAUUACCGAGUGAGGGCCCUUUGGGUCCAACCUCCCACCCGUGUUUAUUUACCUCGUUGCUUCGGCGGGCCCGCCUUAACUGGCCGCCGGGGGGCUCACGCCCCCGGGCCCGCGCCCGCCGAAGACACCCCCGAACUCUGCCUGAAGAUUGUCGUCUGAGUGAAAAUAUAAAUUAUUUAAAACUUUCAACAACGGAUCUCUUGGUUCCGGCAUCGAUGAAGAACGCAGCGAAAUGCGAUACGUAAUGUGAAUUGCAAAUUCAGUGAAUCAUCGAGUCUUUGAACGCACAUUGCGCCCCCUGGUAUUCCGGGGGGCAUGCCUGUCCGAGCGUCAUUGCUGCCCUCAAGCCCGGCUUGUGUGUUGGGCCCCGUCCUCCGAUUCCGGGGGACGGGCCCGAAAGGCAGCGGCGGCACCGCGUCCGGUCCUCGAGCGUAUGGGGCUUUGUCACCCGCUCUGUAGGCCCGGCCGGCGCUUGCCGAUCAACCCAAAUUUUUAUCCAGGUUGACCUCGGAUCAGGUAGGGAUACCCGCUGAACUUAA